GGUCUAGAGUAAAAAUCAAAGAAUUUAAGUUAAUUUCCUUCUGAUUUAAAUUUAUGACUUCAGACAAUCUUUAUUCUACUAUAAUGCCCUUGUAGGAACAUGGAGGCAGAUACGUACUCAUCUUCAUCAGAUGUAGAAGGUGAUGCUGGCUGUAAAUGAAGUUCACUGCCAUCAUUCAAACGAGAUGCAUCAUCAUUUUCUGUCAGCUUGCUUGCUAAGAUCUGUUUAUGGAGGGGGAACAGGUUAUUGUAUUUAGACCACAUCAGGAAGUUCAAGUUUUUCAAGACGUGGAAAAUCUAGAGAGUUAGUAUAACAUUGAGUUAAGAUCUGUUUAUGGAGGGAGCACAGGUAAUUGUAUUUAGACCACAUAAGGAAGUUCAAAUUUUUCAAGACAUGCAAAAUCUAGAGAGUUUGUAUAACAUUGAGUACUAUUACCACUUCAUGCAUGGCUUGAACAGCUCUAAUCUCCUGCCAAUAAUCACUUGGUGAUUGUGACAGUACAGAUAUCUGCUGUUCCUUUCUUCUUUUGUGAGCUUGCAUACGAGAUUUACU
Molecule: long non-coding RNA, 552 nt
Filed under: Nicotiana benthamiana
Lineage: Eukaryota; Viridiplantae; Streptophyta; Magnoliopsida; Solanales; Solanaceae
Description: long non-coding RNA (NBEN_LNC008508)
Source: RNAcentral